AGGAAAGCAGGGGAUCGCAAGACCUUGCGCUUUUGGAGCGGCCGAUGUCUGAUUAGCUAGUUGGUGAGGUAAAGGCUUACCAAGGCUUCGAUCAGUAGCUGGUCUGAGAGGACGACCAGCCACACUGGGACUGAGACACGGCCCAGACUCCUACGGGAGGCAGCAGUGGGGAAUUUUGGACAAUGGGGGAAACCCUGAUCCAGCCAUGUCGCGUGAGUGAAGAAGGCCUUCGGGUUGUAAAGCUCUUUCAGCCGGAACGAAAAGGUUACGGUUAAUACCCGUGACUAAUGACGGUACCGGAAGAAGAAGCACCGGCUAACUACGUGCCAGCAGCCGCGGUAAUACGUAGGGUGCGAGCGGUAAUCGGAAUUACUGGGCGUAAAGCGUGCGCAGGCGGUUUUGUAAGUCAGAUGUGAAAUCCCCGGGCUCAACCUGGGAACUGCGUUUGAAACUACAAGGCU
This 461-nucleotide ribosomal RNA is filed under the name uncultured beta proteobacterium. Its description in RNAcentral is "bacterial SSU rRNA". It matches the Rfam family "Bacterial small subunit ribosomal RNA", at positions 200 to 642 of the family's 1533-position model. The record is from RNAcentral. Lineage: Bacteria; Pseudomonadati; Pseudomonadota; Betaproteobacteria.